Molecule: long non-coding RNA, 229 nt
Filed under: Olea europaea (common olive)
Lineage: Eukaryota; Viridiplantae; Streptophyta; Magnoliopsida; Lamiales; Oleaceae
Description: long non-coding RNA (OEUR_LNC013381)
Source: RNAcentral
GCACACCUUUUGAACAAGAUUGGAUCAUCCCACAGAAAUGACUUGACAUCAUGUAGGAAUUUCUUCUUUUGAUGAAAGGUCAAGUUAGGUGGCAAUCUUCCAGACACUAAAUAGUUAACAAAAUCAGCAUACCAUGGGAUCUUUGUUGAUACAGCUAGCAAGAUCUCGUCGGGGAACGUUUCUCGAAUUUGACUGUCAUCCACCACCUUUUCAUUCUCCAAUCGUGAGA